CGAAGGGGCUAGCGUUGCUCGGAAUCACUGGGCGUAAAGGGCGCGUAGGCGGCGUUUUAAGUCGGGGGUGAAAGCCUGUGGCUCAACCACAGAAUGGCCUUGAUACUGGGACGCUUGAGUCUGGUAGAGGUUGGUGGAACUGCGAGUGUAGAGGUGAAAUUACGUAGAUAUUCGCAAGAACACCGGUGGCGAAGGCGGCCAACUGGACCAGUACUGACGCUGAGGCGCGAAAGCGUGGGGAGCAAACAGGAUU
Molecule: ribosomal RNA, 253 nt
Filed under: uncultured bacterium
Lineage: Bacteria
Description: partial 16S ribosomal RNA
Rfam family: Bacterial small subunit ribosomal RNA
Source: RNAcentral